Molecule: ribosomal RNA, 492 nt
Filed under: uncultured bacterium
Lineage: Bacteria
Description: bacterial SSU rRNA
Rfam family: Bacterial small subunit ribosomal RNA
Source: RNAcentral
GAUGAACGCUAGCGGCAGGCUUAAUACAUGCAAGUCGAGGGGCAGCACGGGUAGCAAUACCUGGUGGCGACCGGCAAACGGGUGCGGAACACGUACGCAACCUUCCCGAAACUGGUGAAUAGCCCUCCGAAAGGAGGAUUAAUACACCGUAAGAUAAUGGAGUGGCAUCACUCUAUUAUUAUAGCUACGGCGGUUUUGGAUGGGCGUGCGCCUGAUUAGGUAGUUGGCGGGGUAACGGCCCACCAAGCCUGCGAUCAGUAACUGGUGUGAGAGCACGACCAGUCACACGGGCACUGAGACACGGGCCCGACUCCUACGGGAGGCAGCAGUAAGGAAUAUUGGUCAAUGGACGCAAGUCUGAACCAGCCAUGCCGCGUGAAGGAUGAAGGCCCUCUGGGUUGUAAACUUCUUUUAUAUGUGAGCAGUGCUUCUUAUAUUAACAGUAUGGGGAGAGAGAUAUUAGCAUAUGAAUAAGCAACGGCUAACUCCGUG